CCUACGGGUGGCAGCAGUGAGGAAUAUUGGUCAAUGGUCGGGAGCCUGAUCCAGCGACGCCGCGUGAGGGAGGAAGGUACAUAGUAUGUUAAACCCCUUUUGUCAGGGAACAAAGACUGGGACCCGUCCCCGAAUGAGUGUACCUGAACAAAACGCAUCGACAAACUCGGUGCCGGCGGCCGUGGUAAUCCGGGGUAUCCGACUGUUAACGGAUGUUAUGGGGUUUAGGGGGUGGGAUGCGGGGUUGUUAGGCCGGCGCGCAAGCCCGGGGCACCACCCCCGCCCCGCCGUUGAAACUGGGAGUCUCGAGUUGGAGAGAGGGAUGCGGAAUUCGCGGUGUAGCGGUGAAAUGCAUAGAUAUCGGGCAGAACUCCGAUGGCGAAGGCAGCAUGCCGGCUCCACACUGACGCUGAGGCACGAAAGCGUGGGUAGCGAACAGGAUUAGAUACCCCGGUAGUC
Molecule: ribosomal RNA, 459 nt
Filed under: uncultured bacterium
Lineage: Bacteria
Description: partial 16S ribosomal RNA
Rfam family: Bacterial small subunit ribosomal RNA
Source: RNAcentral